GAUGAACGCUAGCGAUAGGCUUAACACAUGCAAGUCGAGGGGCAGCGAGGGUAGCAAUACCUGUCGGCGACCGGCGCACGGGUGAGUAACGCGUAUGUAACCUGCCCGCAACAGGGGGAUAACCCGGCGAAAGUCGGACUAAUACCGCAUAAAACAGGGGUCCCGCAUGGGAAUAUUUGUUAAAGAUUUAUCGGUUGCGGAUGGGCAUGCGUACCAUUAGGUAGUUGGUGAGGUAGCGGCUCACCAAGCCUUCGAUGGUUAGGGGUUCUGAGAGGAAGGUCCCCCACACUGGUACUGAGACACGGACCAGACUCCUACGGGAGGCAGCAGUGAGGAAUAGUGAUCAAUGGGCGAGAGCCUGAACCAGCCAAGUCGCGUGAAGGAUGACUGCCCUAUGGGUUGUAAACUUCUUUUACAAGGGAAUAAAAUGAGAUACGUGUAUUUUAUUGCAUGUACCUUGGGAAUAAGCAUCGGCUAACUCCGUG
RNAcentral lists this ribosomal RNA (485 nucleotides) under uncultured bacterium. RNAcentral describes it as "partial 16S ribosomal RNA". It matches the Rfam family "Bacterial small subunit ribosomal RNA", at positions 28 to 507 of the family's 1533-position model. The record is from RNAcentral.